CAGGUAGAUACAGUUAAAGUCUGGAUUGUCCUGUGGGGCUUCCGUGGACAGUUUCCCGAGGAUAUGUGGGAAUAUGGCGGCACCCGCCUUCCGGGAUCAGAAAAUGACCUGUGGUGGAAAAUCUGGGACUGGUCAGCAUGGGAGCUUGUACCGUGACUAGUGUGGAACUGGAACUAACUGUCCAGAGCAUCCAGCCAGGCAAUAGCAGGAUGAACUCGAAUGGAUGGUCAAAAGUCAACUCUAGGAAUGGAGGGAAUCUGUGAUGCUGCUCAGAUGCCUUUUUAUUUCAGGAUCAAAAAUGGAUC
Non-coding RNA from Microcebus murinus (gray mouse lemur), 305 nucleotides. The record is from RefSeq and is a predicted model, not a curated record. NCBI's taxonomy places the organism in Eukaryota, Metazoa, Chordata, Mammalia, Primates, Cheirogaleidae.